CCCUUAAAUGUUCUGGGCUGCACGCGCGCUACACUGAUGCGUUCAACGAGUUUAUGACCUUGCCCGAUAGGGUUGGGUAGUCUUCUUAAAUCGCAUCGUGAUGGGGAUAUGAUAUUGCAAUUAUUAAUCUUCAACGAGGAAUUCCCAGUAAGCGCGAAUCAUCAGCUCGUGCUGAUUACGUCCCUGCCCUUUGUACACACCGCCCGUCGCUCCUACCGAUUGAAUGAUCCGGUGAAUAAUUCGGACGGCAGCAGUGUUCAGUUCCUGAAUGUUGCAGCGGAAAGAUUAAUGAACCUUAUCACUUAGAGGAAGGAGAAGUCGUAACA
RNAcentral lists this ribosomal RNA (326 nucleotides) under uncultured eukaryote. RNAcentral's name for it is "partial 18S ribosomal RNA". It matches the Rfam family "Eukaryotic small subunit ribosomal RNA", at positions 1470 to 1796 of the family's 1831-position model. The record is from RNAcentral.